RNAcentral lists this ribosomal RNA (510 nucleotides) under uncultured bacterium. RNAcentral's name for it is "partial 16S ribosomal RNA". It matches the Rfam family "Bacterial small subunit ribosomal RNA", at positions 28 to 507 of the family's 1533-position model. The record is from RNAcentral.
GACGAACGCUGGCGGCGUGCUUAACACAUGCAAGUCGAACGAAGAGCGACGGAAGCUUGCUUCUAUCAAUCUUAGUGGCGAACGGGUGAGUAACGCGUAAUCAACCUGCCCUUCAGAGGGGGACAACAGUUGGAAACGACUGCUAAUACCGCAUACGCUCUAAUCACGUCAUCGAGGAUGGAUGAAAGGUGGACUCUACAUGUAAGCUAUCACUGAAGGAGGGGAUUGGGUCUGUUUGGCUAGUUGGGGGGGAACGGGCCCACCAAGGCGAUGAUCAGUAGCCGGUCUGAGAGGAUGAACGGCCACAUUGGGACUGAGACACGGCCCAGACUCCUACGGGAGGCAGCAGUGGGGAAUCUUCCGCAAUGGACGAAAGUCUGACGGAGCAACGCCGCGUGAGUGAUGACGGCCUUCGGGUUGUAAAGCUCUGUUAAUCGGGACGAAAGGCCUUCUUGCGAAUAGGGAGAAGGAUUGACGGUACCGGAAUAGAAAGCCACGGCUAACUACGUG